RNAcentral lists this unclassified non-coding RNA (395 nucleotides) under soil metagenome. RNAcentral describes it as "partial contains 5.8S ribosomal RNA, internal transcribed spacer 2, and large subunit ribosomal RNA". The stretch from base 1 to 122 matches the Rfam family "5.8S ribosomal RNA", at positions 35 to 154 of the family's 154-position model. The record is from RNAcentral.
GAUGAAGAACGUAGCGAAAUGCGAUACUUGGUGUGAAUUGCAGAAUCCCGUGAACCAUCGAGUCUUUGAACGCAAGUUGCGCCCGAAGCCAUCAGGUUGAGGGCACGUCUGCCUGGGCGUCACAUAUCGUUGCCUAAUGCCUAUUGCAGUGCAAUAGGAAUUUCUAGGGCGAAUGAUGGCUUCCCGUGAGCGUUGUUGCCUCGCGGUUGGUUGAAAAUCGAGUCCUUGGUAGGGUGUGCCAUGGUAGAUGGUGGUCGAGUUAGAACGAUACCGAUCAUGUGCAUGCUCCCCAAAAUAUGGCCUCUAUGACCCACACGCGUCUUUUGACGCUCAUGACGAGACCUCAGGUCAGGCGGGGCUACCCGCUGAAUUUAAGCAUAUCAAUAAGCGGAGGA